RNAcentral lists this ribosomal RNA (429 nucleotides) under uncultured bacterium. RNAcentral's name for it is "bacterial SSU rRNA". It matches the Rfam family "Bacterial small subunit ribosomal RNA", at positions 355 to 776 of the family's 1533-position model. The record is from RNAcentral.
UGGGGAAUAUUGGACAAUGGGCGCAAGCCUGAUCCAGCCAUACCGCGUGUGUGAAGAAGGCUUUCGGGUUGUAAAGCACUUUAAGUAAGGAGGAAAAGAUUGUAGUUAAUACCUGCAAUCCGUGACGUUACUUACAGAAUAAGGACCGGCUAAUUCCGUGCCAGCAGCCGCGGUAAUACGGAAGGUCCAAGCGUUAAUCGGAAUUACUGGGCGUAAAGCGCGCGUAGGUGGUUUUUUAAGUUGGAUGUGAAAGCCCUGGGCUCAACCUAGGAACUGCAUCCAAAACUAGAUGACUAGAGUACGAAAGAGGGAAGUAGAAUUCACAGUGUAGCGGUGGAAUGCGUAGAUAUUGUGAAGAAUACCAAUGGCGAAGGCAGCUUCCUGGUUCUGUACUGACACUGAGGUGCGAAAGCGUGGGUAGCGAACAGG